This is a long non-coding RNA of Lycium barbarum (goji berry), 780 nucleotides long. RefSeq lists it as uncharacterized. The transcript is spliced from 3 exons. The record is from RefSeq and is a predicted model, not a curated record. NCBI's taxonomy places the organism in Eukaryota, Viridiplantae, Streptophyta, Magnoliopsida, Solanales, Solanaceae.
UAUAUAUGUGUGUGUGAGAGAGUUUUUAACCGAGUGGUGUAUAGAUGUGUGUGAUUUUUCUUGGUUCAUUGUCGUCUAAUAGUUUGCGAUUGCAAUUCUUAGAGCAAGUAUGUUAUUUCUUUUACCUGGAUAACUGUUAGUUAUAGUUUCCUCCUGUUUCGGAUUUCUCUUCUUCUUGCAGAUUUAUAUUUUUCCAUACUCAGUUCUGGACAUGCAUUUUUUAAUGUUGCCGAUUUGCUUGGAUCUUGAGAUUAUUGAGCUAUGGAGAUUAAAAUAUUGUAGAUCAGCUGUUUGCUUCAACUUCCUUCAAUACCGAAUCAAAUGAAACAUGUUUGUCAUGAAUAGAGAUGGCCGAUGGGGCUUAAAGAGACAACAUGUAUUCUAUUUUCAGAAUAUCACUGAAAGAAUCCCACUUAAUUGGCUCAGCGACCCCAUCCAUGGGGCAUGCUGUGCACACGACCUCCGAACCUGUGCUUCGUCAGAGGUUUUGUUGACAGGACUUAUAUGCAGUCAUCCAGCUUUUUUAACAACGUGAUUUCUCAAUGGAGAUCAAAACUAUUUGCGAGGACAUAUGGCUUUCAAUAAGAUCCUUUGCAAGAGUUAUUGUUUCUUUUUAUUCCUAGGUAGUGGAACACCUCUUAGACAAUGUUUAGUACAUUAUACUUAUUUGUAUGUUUGGAGAAAUCGUGAGAAUUUAUUUUUCUAUAUUAUUAUGUAAUCAGGCCUACAACUCAAAUUGAGUGCUGCUUUGCAAUAGUAUAAUCAUGCUUUCAUGUGAAA